UAUACGGGAACGCUGAAUCCCUAGGGGAGCGGGGGAACCAAACUUUGGGGUGAAUCCUGUAUACCUUACGGGUACAGGUAGGGUUAGCUUUCGACCCGAACCCGUCAGCUAACCUCGUAAGCGUGGAAGGCGCGAAAGG
This 139-nucleotide small RNA is filed under the name Moorella sp. (in: firmicutes). RNAcentral describes it as "Moorella sp. c-di-AMP sequence". It matches the Rfam family "c-di-AMP riboswitch aptamer (ydaO/yuaA leader)". From Rfam's summary of the family: This family represents a conserved RNA structure found upstream of the ydaO and yuaA genes in Bacillus subtilis and related genes in other bacteria. Lineage: Bacteria; Bacillati; Bacillota; Clostridia; Neomoorellales; Neomoorellaceae. The record is from RNAcentral.